Molecule: ribosomal RNA, 301 nt
Filed under: uncultured bacterium
Lineage: Bacteria
Description: partial 16S ribosomal RNA
Rfam family: Bacterial small subunit ribosomal RNA
Source: RNAcentral
CAGUCGCCGCGGUAAUACGGAGGAUCCAAGCGUUAUCCGGAAUCAUUGGGUUUAAAGGGUCCGUAGGCGGUCUUGUAAGUCAGUGGUGAAAGCCCAUCGCUCAACGGUGGAACGGCCAUUGAUACUGCAGGACUUGAAUUAUUGGGAAGUAACUAGAAUAUGUAGUGUAGCGGUGAAAUGCUUAGAGAUUACAUGGAAUACCAAUUGCGAAGGCAGGUUACUACCAAUUGAUUGACGCUGAUGGACGAAAGCGUGGGUAGCGAACAGGAUUAGAGACCCCCGUAGUCCCUGUCUCUUAUAC